RNAcentral lists this ribosomal RNA (460 nucleotides) under uncultured bacterium. Its description in RNAcentral is "partial 16S ribosomal RNA". It matches the Rfam family "Bacterial small subunit ribosomal RNA", at positions 338 to 795 of the family's 1533-position model. The record is from RNAcentral.
CCUACGUGGGGCAGCAGUGAGGAAUAUUGGUCAAUGGGCGCGAGCCUGAACCAGCCAAGUAGCGUGAAGGAUGACUGCCCUACGGGUUGUAAACUUCUUUUAUAAAGGAAUAAAGUGAGGCACGUGUGCCUUUUUGUAUGUACUUUAUGAAUAAGGAUCGGCUAACUCCGUGCCAGCAGCCGCGGUAAUACGGAGGAUCCGAGCGUUAUCCGGAUUUAUUGGGUUUAAAGGGAGCGUAGAUGGGUUGUUAAGUCAGUUGUGAAAGUUUGCGGCUCAACCGUAAAAUUGCAAUUGAUACUGGCAGUCUUGAGGACAGUUGAGGUAGGCGGAAUUCGUGGUGUAGCGGUGAAAUGCUUAGAUAUCACGAAGAACUCCGAUUGCGAAGGCAGCUUACUAAACUGCCACUGACAUUGAUGCUCGAAAGUGUGGGUAUCAAACAGGAUUAGAUACCCCAGUAGUC